AGAGUUUGAUCCUGGCUCAGGAUGAACGCUGGCGGCGUGCUUAACACAUGCAAGUCGAGCGAAGCGCUUAUGAAAGAUUCUUCGGAUGAAUUCAUUUGUGACUGAGCGGCGGACGGGUGAGUAACGCGUGGGUAACCUGCCUCAUACAGGGGGAUAACAGUUGGAAACGACUGCUAAUACCGCAUAAGCGCACAGUACCGCAUGGUACAGUGUGAAAAACUCCGGUGGUAUGAGAUGGACCCGCGUCUGAUUAGCUAGUUGGUGGGGUAACGGCCUACCAAGGCGACGAUCAGUAGCCGACCUGAGAGGGUGACCGGCCACAUUGGGACUGAGACACGGCCCAAACUCCUACGGGAGGCAGCAGUGGGGAAUAUUGCACAAUGGGGGAAACCCUGAUGCAGCAACGCCGCGUGAGUGAAGAAGUAUUUCGGUAUGUAAAGCUCUAUCAGCAGGGAAGAAAAUGACGGUACCUGACUAAGAAGCCCCGGCUAACUACGUGCCAGCAGCCGCGGUAAUACGUAGGGGGCAAGCGUUAUCCGGAUUUACUGGGUGUAAAGGGAGCGUAGACGGCGAGACAAGUCUGAAGUGAAAGCCCGGGGCUCAACCCCGGGACUGCUUUGGAAACUGCCUUGCUAGAGUGCUGGAGAGGUAAGUGGAAUUCCUAGUGUAGCGGUGAAAUGCGUAGAUAUUAGGAGGAACACCGGUGGCGAAGGCGGCUUGCUGGACAGUAACUGACGUUGAGGCUCGAAAGCGUGUGGAGCAAACAGGAUUAGAUACCCUGGUAGUCCACGCCGUAAACGAUGAAUGCUAGGUGUUGGGGAGCAAAGCUCUUCGGUGCCGCCGCAAACGCAUUAAGCAUUCCACCUGGGGAGUACGUUCGCAAGAAUGAAACUCAAAGGAAUUGACGGGGGCCCGCACAAGCAGUGGAUUAUGUGGUUUAAUUCGACGCAACGCGAAGAACCUUACCAGGACUUGACAUCCAACUAACGAAGUAGAGAUACAUCAGGUGCCCUUCGGGGAAAGUUGAGACAGGUGGUGCAUGGUUGUCGUCAGCUCGUGUCGUGAGAUGUUGGGUUAAGUCCCGCAACGAGCGCAACCCCUAUUGUUAGUUGCUACGAAAGAGCACUCUAGCGAGACUGCCGUUGACAAAACGGGGGAAGGCGGGGACGACGUCAAAUCAUCAUGCCCCUUAUGUCCUGGGCUACACACGUAAUACAAUGGUGGCCAACAGAGGGAAGCGAAGCCGUGAGGCGGAGCAAAUCCCUAAAAGCCAUCUCAGUUCGGAUUGCAGGCUGCAACUCGCCUGCAUGAAGCUGGAAUUGCUAGUAAUCGCGGAUCAGCAUGCCGCGGUGAAUACGUUCCCGGGCCUUGUACACACCGCCCGUCACACCAUGAGAGUCGGGAACACCCGAAGUCCGUAGUCUAACCGCAAGGGGGGCGCGGCCGAAGGUGGGCCCGGUAAUUGGGGUGAAGUCGUAACAAGGUA
Molecule: ribosomal RNA, 1486 nt
Filed under: metagenome
Description: bacterial SSU rRNA
Rfam family: Bacterial small subunit ribosomal RNA
Source: RNAcentral